UCCUCAAGUUAUUAAUUUUCAUUUUGUGUCUGAUGCAUGUUUAUCAUUAUUACAAGUCCUUAUGUAUACCAUAUUCUGUGCAAUCUCAUGAAACAAACUUCAUCCAAUAUUACCAAGACUGCAAAUAAAAGGAUUGGGAUGUAAAUAAAAAUUGAGGUUAAGAAAAUAAAAUAUUGAAAUAUGUACUAUUCAGAAGAGAUGUUUAUCUUUGGUAAUAAUUCAAUAAGUCAUGAAAUGAUAUAAUGCAUAAUAUUAGUGAUUUUGUGAUGUUUGUCUUUGUUUACUGUUAUUUAAUGAUUGUCAAUCUGACAGUACGGACACCAAGAAUAUCAUUCACAAAGGGAGGAGAAAAUGGAAUUACUUUUGAGUCUAUUUAUAUCAUGGUGUUGUCUAUAGUGAUGUGAUGAUUUUCUUUAUGUAUUUCAAUAAGAUGCUUCAUAUGAUCAUCACCCGUUGCCAUCAGUCUUUCUUUGAAUUUUUAAGCAAUUCCUCUGCAUUAAGUAAGCAUUCAAAUAUGAAGUGGUUUAUGUAUCCCUGGCUCAUGUACAUUGGACUAAGUUGGUGUUUUGGCAAGUUUGGAGUUCGUGAGUCAAUCACCGAAUUACUGUGCAGUACAUAGGGUGCAAUGGAUUGAAAAGAGUUCUCCUGUUAUACUUCUGAGGAUAUUUUCUUGGACUUGAUAUAUUCUCGUGCUGAGAUGUACAUGGCAUAUUUGAUUGAACUUGGAUUAUCUUUCUUUGAGCCAUCAGUUUGUGUUAGAGAAGAAUUAUAUAGACAUUGUCCAUGAUGGUCUAUAAAAUCACACUACCAGGAAUUUGUAGUGGUUCACCAUUUCAAUGAGUGCAUCUCAGACAGUUAACAUGGAUCACAUAUUCUUGUGAUGAGCAUGGCUUUAGUUCUGUAGAGGAUGAUGUGCAGGUUUCUGCGACUUAGUGAGAUACUCAAUAAGCAGGAUUGGUAGCGUUUCCCAGGGGUUUCACACCCUACAGAAGGGUUUCCACCAGAUCGCAAAUCUGAAAGUUGAAUGUUAAUAUGCCGAAAAUUGCAUUUCUAGAUGACUUGUACUAGUCGGCUAGCUUUUUGAACUCCCCUAUCUUUUGAGGAAAUGAGCCGGUAGUCUUGCUGAUUGUAUUGCGGAGUCUCGUCAUGUCGACGUUAUCAAAAUUCUUAAUAUCCUAGGAGUUUGUCUAUUCUAUUUCGAAUAUUCAUCUAUUUGAAAUUCUUUGGAGCUGAACUCCAUUUCCAAUUAUCUCGCCUUCUGGAUGGUCGUGAUCUACAAUGAAGAUGGUGUUUCCUGUUUUGAUAUUGCUGCAAUAAUUGUUGUGAAAUGUGCUAAGACCGCUAUCUAAAAGAAAUGUUGAGAUGAGUCAAAUAAACCGUACUAAACAGA
Nicrophorus vespilloides is the source of this 1390-nucleotide long non-coding RNA. RefSeq lists it as uncharacterized. The record is from RefSeq and is a predicted model, not a curated record. NCBI's taxonomy places the organism in Eukaryota, Metazoa, Arthropoda, Insecta, Coleoptera, Silphidae. The transcript has 4 exons.